RNAcentral lists this ribosomal RNA (253 nucleotides) under uncultured bacterium. RNAcentral describes it as "partial 16S ribosomal RNA". It matches the Rfam family "Bacterial small subunit ribosomal RNA", at positions 524 to 776 of the family's 1533-position model. The record is from RNAcentral.
UACAGAGGUCUCAAGCGUUGUUCGGAUUCAUUGGGCGUAAAGGGUGCGUAGGUGGCGCUGUAAGUCAGGUGUGAAAUUUCAGAGCUUAACUCCGAAACUGCAUUUGAUACUGCGGUGCUUGAGGACUGGAGAGGAGACUGGAAUUUACGGUGUAGCAGUGAAAUGCGUAGAUAUCGUAAGGAAGACCAGUGGCGAAGGCGAGUCUCUGGACAGUAACUGACGCUGAGGCACGAAGGCCAGGGGAGCAAACGGG